GGCUUAUAACCUAUGUGGAUUAGAGAACACUGCAGUAUGGAUCCAUUGGGGCUAACCACGAGCCGAUCGUGGUGCUUGUGAUUAGAUUUGAAUGGAUUUGAACUUUUAGCCUAAUGAGGACGUCAGAGUUUAAACGGAGGGAGGAUGUGAAGAUCCGUGCGGGCGUGUGUUAAGUCCCACAUCGGUUAUUCGCUGGAUAGAUCUUAAAAUACUUAUACAGGAUCAAGAAACCCAAAUAAUAUUUUCUGGCUAGCCAUUUGGGUGAGGUUUUGGGUUGUUACAAAAGUCAUCUCAUACACACCAGAUCACAAUAUUCAAGAAAGGAAAAAAAAUUCACUACAGAUUCUAAAUCCAUGGUUAUGAAAUUCUCAAUUGGAUUCUUGGUUAACUAAAUUGUAUAUUAUGAUAUCAAGUUUCAGGAAUUCCUUAUUAAUCCCCCGUUUUUCCUAGCAAAGUUGAGUUAACUUAUCCUAUAAUUUCCUGAAAUAAAUUUGAAUCUGAACAAAUUCAUGCCUUUUAUGUCCUAGAUCAAGAUAAUUUUUCCCAGUAAAUAAUAUUGCUAAAUCUUAUAAUUCCAAUGUAAGAAUAAGUUUAUUAUAAUACUUUGAUAGCCGCUGAACCAUAUAACAUCUAAUAAUAGAAUAGAAAAGCUGAAAAUGUCACAUCAUACAUAAGUGGGAUGAAGGCAAAGCUCAGAAACAAAAGAAAGCAACUAUAAUAAAUUCACGACCACUACAUGCUCCUCGCUAGAGGCAUAAAUCAUCAAAAGCAACAAUGAUUGGUCCCCUUCUCAUCCGCUCCCCACCUUAUCACCUCAAGUGGAUCCACCCUGUUCUUAGCUUCUCACAAGUUUGAUCUAUUAUGUUUUCAACCAAUGUUCCUAUAAUACCCAUAUUUUCUCUUAAUUUGUCUUGUCAUGGACAAGCUAGGUACACCCUCAAGAACUUUAUAGCUUACAACUUCAAUCUGCAAACAGUUACCAAACUAUGCGAAUUUGGCUCUUUACAGAUUGAAUAUGAUCUACCAACCUUGGAGGGCCAAUGCAUAGAUGCAGAACAUAGUAAUCGAAUAUUCUACAUAAGGUGCCCUAUUUUCAUCCAAAUAUCCCUCUCUCUCACACGCAAUUCCUAGGUGCUUCCUCACUAUUCUUUUUCUAAAGAGCUUCACCUCACUGCUCCUGCAUCUGCUCAUAUUUCAAUGUUGACCAAGUUGCUCUUGGCCCAGUUAUUUUUGUCCAAAGAGUAUAAAUAAUUAUACCGUCAAUAUAACAUAUAGUUUUGGAUUCAGUUUCUGGAGUCCAAUCAAAUUAUACUCCUGUCAUGCCCAAAAGCUCUUUUCUAUCUGACUUUUUCCAAGUCACACUGGUGAUGGCUUAACAAUUUAUGAUUAUUAUGUGUAUCUCUCUUUUCCACUUAUGUGUUGUAUACCUCCUUACUGUCAUUUCCUGUACUUUAUAGCAAAUAUAUUUCAUUUAUUUUACCAACUAGAACAAAUAGAAAUACAAAAAAUUACAUAAGCAAAAAAGAAUUACACUGGAAGCAUGUCCAUCAUCAUUUUGUUUAUAGUACAUCAUGGUCAAAUGAAUCAUCAUUCAAAAAUAUAGUUAUGUUUAGACUUUAGACAGUAUGUUUGUGACACUAGACCAAUACUGGUAAUUUGGUACUCUUGUAAGACAUUGUUGUACACGUAUAACAGAUGGCACAGAACAAUACAAUUUAACUCAACCAUAAAGGAAGAUUUAGUAAAAAACAAUGUCAUGUAAGAAACUGAGUUAUGAAUUACAUUGCUCGCAGACUUUUAUGGCCAAUGUUACGGCAUAGUCUGUUCCUAAAGAUACAGUAAUCUAGCUGGCAUUUAUCUCAUGCCAUCACUGUG
Molecule: non-coding RNA, 1875 nt
Organism: Phoenix dactylifera (date palm)
Lineage: Eukaryota; Viridiplantae; Streptophyta; Magnoliopsida; Arecales; Arecaceae
Source: RefSeq, a predicted model, not a curated record